GAGUAAAACUCAAACUCAAGAGACCAACGCAAAGAAAUGAUAAAAAAGGAGAAUUAGGAAUCUGUAGCGGCACAGUAAGAUCCUUUCUGCCGAUGGAGUGCCGACAUCUUGGCCUGGCAUUGGAAUUGGCGGCAUCAACGCACUGUGCGCGCCACGUCUGUGUCUUCUCUUUCAGCUUGUAGGCCGCGGCUGUUCAUGGGUAAGAGUGAUGCAUGGCUGAGGAAUAACACCGUUGUGCAGGAAUCUGCUGACGCGCUCCUGUCUGCAUGCCCCUCCAUCCCCUACUCCUACUCCUGCUCGUCUGCUGAUCUUUUACAGAGGGCUGCUAUUCACCCUUCAUUUUCUGAAUGCCCAGCAGACUGUGUCACUACUGGCUGCCGACUGCCGUACGUAUUUGACAUGCAUCAUGGUCCAGAUCUGGCCUUGAUGGUGGAUAUGGUACGGCAGCUCUCUAAGGUACUAGUCCAAUCCAACGUUUUGGAAUUCCUAUUAGUUUUCUUAGAUAUAUAACGGAAGGAUCAAGGGUCCGUUAGGUUUUCACGGAAUCGUUCCUGGCCGACUUGCUUCACUAAUUUAUAUAAGCUUUGAUCAGCCGAAACAAUUCCGACAAACGGACUAAGGAU
Molecule: unclassified non-coding RNA, 623 nt
Filed under: Zea mays
Lineage: Eukaryota; Viridiplantae; Streptophyta; Magnoliopsida; Poales; Poaceae
Description: misc RNA Zm00001eb241750
Source: RNAcentral